UACGAACGCUGGCGGCGUGCCUAAUACAUGCAAGUAGAACGCAGUUGCGCACGGGUGAGUAACGCGUAUGUAACUGCCUCAUAGCGGGGGAUAACUUUUGGGAAAGAUAGCUAAUACCGCAUAUUGUGAGAUGGACCUUCGUUGUAUUGGGUAGUUGGUGAGGUAAAGGCUCACCAAGGCGACGAUACAUCGCCGACCUGAGAGGGUUAGCGGCCACAUUGGGACUCGGACACCGUCCGAACUUCUGCCGGAUGCAGACGUAGGGAAAUUUCGUCAAUGGACGGAAGUCUGAACGAGCGACGCCGCGGGAGUGAAGAAGGUGUUCGGAUCGUAAAUCUCUGUUGUUAGAGAAGCGGUAACUAACAAGGAAGGGACGGCUAACUACGUGCCAGCAGCCGCGGUAAUAC
Molecule: ribosomal RNA, 407 nt
Filed under: uncultured bacterium
Lineage: Bacteria
Description: partial 16S ribosomal RNA
Rfam family: Bacterial small subunit ribosomal RNA
Source: RNAcentral